AUUUCCUUGAUUUAGUAAUGAUAUUGCUCAUAGAAAUUGAUAAUGUGAAGAAUAACAAUACAGGAACAUAGAAUAACAAGAAAGAAAUUCUAGCAGCAAGUUAGGUUAUGAGAUAAAUUUUAUUUAUAUAGUUUGUUUAAAGAGUUUAGUUUGAAAAAAAGUUAAAACAAUUAUUAUUGUCCAGGUCAUAUUUGAUAACUGUUGUUAAUUGAUAACAUAUUACAGGGACACAGUAAAAAGACAAAACAUUUAGACCCUUUGAAAGAGAAAUGUUUGUACGAUGUACAAUGCAGGCAAUAUUUCUGCCUCCUAACGCACUAUUCGCGUAAAAGAAGAUAACAGAUUUAUUAUUAGUUGGCUAGUGUGUUAGUAGGAUAGCCAUUGGUAGUUAUAAAGUAUGAAGUCGUCAGGUAUUAAUAAUAGGAAUUGAUCAAAGCUUAUACAUUUAUUGUGAUAUUUAUAUUGUGAAUUUAAGUAGUUGAGUUUUGGUUGUUUAAUAAACGAAUUAAUGUGC
RNAcentral lists this long non-coding RNA (514 nucleotides) under Sitophilus oryzae (rice weevil). Its description in RNAcentral is "uncharacterized LOC115882998, transcript variant X2". The record is from RNAcentral. Lineage: Eukaryota; Metazoa; Arthropoda; Insecta; Coleoptera; Curculionidae.